UCCUUACGAAUCGCAGCUUGUUCCGCAGACAACUUCUGAAGCUCCUCAGAUAGACGUUGCUGCUCACGAUACACCGAUGAAACGGAAAUAUCUUCCUCAGAAAUGUCCAUAGAAGGACGGGAAGAAGUAGCAGUAGCAGGAGGUGGAGCUGCAGGAGGGGAAGAAGCACGCUGAGACGGUGUACGAAGCUGCACCGAGGA
Molecule: long non-coding RNA, 200 nt
Filed under: Ananas comosus (pineapple)
Lineage: Eukaryota; Viridiplantae; Streptophyta; Magnoliopsida; Poales; Bromeliaceae
Description: long non-coding RNA (ACOM_LNC038797)
Source: RNAcentral